RNAcentral lists this non-coding RNA (59 nucleotides) under unclassified sequences. The record is from RNAcentral. RNAcentral also lists the same sequence under 1 other name.
AGAUUUGUGGAGAGAUUUGGCCUAUUGCAACCACCAAAAAAAAUGCUAAAAAAGUUUCA